GCCUUCGUGGCUUAGUGGUAGAGCAUCUCACUCGUAAUGAGAGGAUCCCUGGUUCGAAUCCAGGCUGAGGCA
RNAcentral lists this transfer RNA (72 nucleotides) under Kwoniella dejecticola CBS 10117. RNAcentral describes it as "tRNA-Thr (CGT) (tRNA-Thr-CGT-1-1)". It matches the Rfam family "tRNA". From Rfam's summary of the family: Transfer RNA (tRNA) molecules are approximately 80 nucleotides in length. Their secondary structure includes four short double-helical elements and three loops (D, anti-codon, and T loops). The record is from RNAcentral. Lineage: Eukaryota; Fungi; Basidiomycota; Tremellomycetes; Tremellales; Cryptococcaceae.